AUACGGAAGGUCCGGGCGUUAUCCGGAUUUAUUGGGUUUAAAGGGAGCGCAGGCGGAGAUGCAAGCGUGACGUCAAAUUUCGGGGCUCAACCCCGUCUCGCGUCGCGAACUGCGUCCCUUGGUUGCGGGAAGGGGAGGCGGAACUCGCGGUGUAGCGGUGAAAUGCAUAGAUAUCACGAAGAACUCCGAUCGCGAAGGCAGCCUUCCGGCCCGUCAACGACGCUCAUGCUCGAAGGUGCGGGUAUCAAACAGGAUUAGAUACCCUGGUAGUCCGCACAGUAAACGAUGGACACCCGCGGUUUGGCCUGUAUGGCUGAGCCGCCAAGCGAAAGCGUUAAGUGUCCCACCUGGGGAGUACGCCGGCAACGGUGAAACUCAAAUGAAUUGACGGGG
RNAcentral lists this ribosomal RNA (393 nucleotides) under uncultured bacterium. RNAcentral describes it as "partial 16S ribosomal RNA". It matches the Rfam family "Bacterial small subunit ribosomal RNA", at positions 523 to 918 of the family's 1533-position model. The record is from RNAcentral.